CGCCGCGGUAAUACGUAGGGGGCGAGCGUUACCCGGAUUCACUGGGCGUAAAGCGGGUGUAGGCGGCUCGGUAAGUCGGGUGUGAAAUCCCACGGCUCAACCGUGGAAUUGCGCCUGAAACUGCUGAGCUUGGGGCCGGUAGAGGGAGACGGAACUGCCGGUGUAGGGGUGAAAUCCGUAGAUAUCGGCAGGAACGCCGGUGGGGAAGCCGGUCUCCUGGGCCGCGCCCGACGCUGAGGCCCGAAAGCUAGGGGAGCAAACCGGAUUAGAUACCCGGGUAGUCCUAGCCGUAAACGAUGCCCACUAGGUGUGGGGGAUUAAUUCCUCCGUGCUGUAGCUAACGCGUUAAGUGGGCCGCCUGGGGAGUACGCCCGCAAGGGUGAAACUCAAAGGAAUUGGCGGGACCCCGCACAAGCGGUGGAGCGCGUGGUUUAAUUGGAUGCUGAGCCAAGAACCUUACCAGGGCUUGACAUGCAGGUGGUACCGACCCGAAAGGGGAGGGACCCCAUCCUUUUGGGUGGGGAGCCUGCACAGGUGGUGCACGGCCGUCGUCAGCUCGUGCCGUGAGGUGUUGGGUUAAGUCCCGCAACGAGCGCAACCCCUGCCAUUAGUUGCCAACGGUUCGGCCGGGCACUCUAAGGGGACUGCCGGCGACGAGCCGGAGGAAGGAGGGGACGACGUCAGGUACUCGUGCCCUUUAUGCCCUGGGCUACACACGCGCUACAAUGGGUGGUACAAUGGGUUGCGACCCCGCGAGGGGGAGCCAAUCCCUAAAACCACCCCCAGUUCGGAUCGCAGGCUGCAACCCGCCUGCGUGAAGCCGGAAUCGCUAGUAAUCGCGGAUCAGCCACGCCGCGGUGAUACGUUCCCGGGGUUUGCACACACCGCCAGU
This 892-nucleotide ribosomal RNA is filed under the name uncultured Thermotogales bacterium. RNAcentral's name for it is "bacterial SSU rRNA". It matches the Rfam family "Bacterial small subunit ribosomal RNA", at positions 513 to 1397 of the family's 1533-position model. The record is from RNAcentral. Lineage: Bacteria; Thermotogati; Thermotogota; Thermotogae; Thermotogales.